RNAcentral lists this ribosomal RNA (254 nucleotides) under uncultured bacterium. RNAcentral's name for it is "partial 16S ribosomal RNA". It matches the Rfam family "Bacterial small subunit ribosomal RNA", at positions 524 to 776 of the family's 1533-position model. The record is from RNAcentral.
CACGUAGGGGGCAAGCGUUGUCCGGAUUUAUUGGGCGUAAAGAGCUCGUAGGCGGUUCGGUAAGUCGGGUGUGAAACCUCCAGGCUCAACCUGGAGACGCCACCCGAUACUGCUGUGGCUAGAGUCCGGUAGGGGAGCGUGGAAUUCCCGGUGUAGCGGUGAAAUGCGCAGAUAUCAGGAGGAACACCAGCGGCGAAGGCGGCGCUCUGGGCCGGAACUGACGCUGAGGAGCGAAAGCGUGGGGAGCAAACAGG